Molecule: ribosomal RNA, 338 nt
Filed under: Bacillus amyloliquefaciens
Lineage: Bacteria; Bacillati; Bacillota; Bacilli; Caryophanales; Bacillaceae
Description: bacterial SSU rRNA
Rfam family: Bacterial small subunit ribosomal RNA
Source: RNAcentral
AAAGGUGGCUUCGGCUACCACUUACAGAUGGACCCGCGGCGCAUUAGCUAGUUGGUGAGGUAACGGCUCACCAAGGCGACGAUGCGUAGCCGACCUGAGAGGGUGAUCGGCCACACUGGGACUGAGACACGGCCCAGACUCCUACGGGAGGCAGCAGUAGGGAAUCUUCCGCAAUGGACGAAAGUCUGACGGAGCAACGCCGCGUGAGUGAUGAAGGUUUUCGGAUCGUAAAGCUCUGUUGUUAGGGAAGAACAAGUGCCGUUCAAAUAGGGUUGUACCUUGACGGUACCUAACCAGAAAGCCACGGCUAACUACGUGCCAGCAGCCGCGGUAAUACG